UACGAAGGGUCCAAGCGUUAUCCGGAUUUAUUGGGUUUAAAGGGUGCGUAGGCGGCUUAUUAAGUCAGUGGUGAAAGCCCGUAGCUUAACUACGGAACUGCCAUUGAUACUGAUGAGCUUGAAUAUACUUGAGGUUGGCGGAAUGUGUCAUGUAGCGGUGAAAUGCUUAGAUAUGACACAGAACACCGAUUGCGAAGGCAGCUAGCUAAAGUAUGAUUGACGCUGAUGCACGAAAGCGUGGGGAGCAAACAGGA
This 254-nucleotide ribosomal RNA is filed under the name uncultured bacterium. RNAcentral's name for it is "partial 16S ribosomal RNA". It matches the Rfam family "Bacterial small subunit ribosomal RNA", at positions 524 to 777 of the family's 1533-position model. The record is from RNAcentral.